RNAcentral lists this ribosomal RNA (293 nucleotides) under uncultured bacterium. RNAcentral describes it as "partial 16S ribosomal RNA". It matches the Rfam family "Archaeal small subunit ribosomal RNA", at positions 455 to 747 of the family's 1478-position model. The record is from RNAcentral.
GUUCCAUCCUCCUCUUUCCCCCCGUCAGCCCGAGUGAUGGCCGAUCUUAUUGGGCCUAAAGCGUCCGUAGCUGGCUGCGCAAGUCCGUCGGGAAAUCCACUCGCCCAACGAGUGGGCGUCCGACGGAAACUGCACAGCUUGGGACCGGAAGGCUCGAAGGGUACGUUCGGGGUAGGAGUGAAAUCCCAUAAUCCCGCACGGACCACCGAUGGCGAAAGCACUUCGAGAAAACGGAUCCGACAGUGAGGGACGAAAGCCAGGGUCUCCAACCGGAUUAGAUACCCGAGUAGUCC